GUGCUUUCUUUGGUGGCACAUACUCUAAAAUUGAAGUAAUAUAGAGAUAAGCCCGGCCCCUGCACAAGGAUGCCACUCCAAUUUGGGAAGUUUUCCAUAUUUGU
This is a small nuclear RNA of Monodelphis domestica (gray short-tailed opossum), 104 nucleotides long. The record is from Ensembl. Lineage: Eukaryota; Metazoa; Chordata; Mammalia; Didelphimorphia; Didelphidae.